Long non-coding RNA from Bombyx mori (domestic silkworm), 614 nucleotides. RefSeq lists it as uncharacterized. The record is from RefSeq and is a predicted model, not a curated record. Lineage: Eukaryota; Metazoa; Arthropoda; Insecta; Lepidoptera; Bombycidae. The transcript has 3 exons.
AGUAUAAUGCUUAAACUUUUCUACGCGGUUUUGAUCGUGAAAAAAACAAUUAUAAAUACUGAAGGAGCAAUUAAUUGGUACACAGUUUAAUUAAAAAAAAAAAUUGAAAUCACUCACAAUGAUCAGGUAUAAUUUUUUCUAAUAAAGUACGUAGGUACUUAACGAAUGUUCACGAUUGACUUCCACGGUGAAGGAAUAACAUCGUGUAAUAAAAAUCAAACUCACAAAAAUGAGGAUUUGCGUAUUUACUGGCAGUAGGACCUCUUGUGAGUCCGCACAGGGUUUCCCACAAAGAGCAUAUCAAGUCUAAAACUGAAAGCAGUGUUCUAUUAGGAUAAUCGGUUCCACCAAUAAAAAAAGAAUGUCUUCUUACGGGGAUGGCGAAGAUCAAACUGCUCUGACGUCCAACAACACCGUCGAGGGUCGCACGCAUAUCAGCCAACUCCUCUCGCACACGCACGCUCCCCAUCCGUAGGAAAAGCCUGCCGGACCCGAAGGUAGUGCUGUUAGGCCACAGGCGGCUGGCGUCAGUCUUUUUAAAAAACACAAAGCCUUUUCUACAACAAUGUUUUAUUCAAAAAAUCUUCACAAUAAAUAUUUCUUUAACACCUCUG